GAUUAACGCUAGCGGCAGGCAUAAUACAUGCAAGUUGAACGGCAGCACAGGUAGCAAUACUGGGUGGCGAGUGGCGCACGGGUGCGUAACACGUAUGCAACCUACCCUAUACAGGCGAAUAACCUUUAGAAAUGAGGGCUAAUGCGCCGUAGUAUUACAGAUGGGCAUCUAUUUGUAAUUAAAGAUUUAUCGGUAUAGGAUGGGCAUGCGUCCCAUUAGUUAGUUGGUAAGGUAACGGCUUACCAAGACGAUGAUGGGUAGGGGAUCUGAGAGGACUUACCCCCACACUGGUACUGAGACACGGACCAGACUCCUACGGGAGGCAGCAGUAAGGAAUAUUGGGCAAUGGCCGCGAGGCUGACCCAGCCAUGCCGCGUGCAGGAAGACGGCCUUAUGGGUUGUAAACUGCUUUUAUACGGGAAUAAUAGAGUGUACGCGUACAUUUAUGCAAGUAUCGUAUGAAUAAGCAUCGGCUAACUCCGUG
Molecule: ribosomal RNA, 484 nt
Filed under: uncultured bacterium
Lineage: Bacteria
Description: partial 16S ribosomal RNA
Rfam family: Bacterial small subunit ribosomal RNA
Source: RNAcentral